UACGUAGGGUGCAAGCGUUAAUCGGAAUUACUGGGCGUAAAGCGCGUGUAGGCGGCUUAGCAAGUCGGAUGUGAAAGCCCUGGGCUUAACCCAGGAAGUGCACUCGAAACUGCUGAGCUUGAGUUCUGGAGAGGAAGGCGGAAUUCUCGGUGUAGAGGUGAAAUUCGUAGAUAUCGAGAGGAACACCGGUGGCGAAGGCGGCUUUCUGGACAGUGACUGACGCUGAGACGCGAAAGCGUGGGGAGCAAACAGG
This 253-nucleotide ribosomal RNA is filed under the name uncultured bacterium. RNAcentral's name for it is "partial 16S ribosomal RNA". It matches the Rfam family "Bacterial small subunit ribosomal RNA", at positions 524 to 776 of the family's 1533-position model. The record is from RNAcentral.